CGGAGUGAAGCGGCCAAAAAGGAUUCAAAAUUUGAAUCUUGUUGUCCUUCCGGGCACAGAGUUGUAAUUUGAGAUACGUUUUCGACGGACAGGCCUGCYUUAAGUCCCUUGGAACAGGGMGUCGCAGAGGGUGAGAAUCCCGUGAACGGUAGGCCUCGAGGCACAUGAUACGUAUUCAACGAGUCGAGUUGUUUGGGAAUGCAGCUCAAAAUGGGUGGUAAAUUUCAUCUAAAGCUAAAUAUUGGGGAGAGACCGAUAGCGCACAAGUAGAGUGAUCGAAAGAUGAAAAGCACUYUGAAAAGAGAGUUAAAAAGUACGUGAAAUUGUUGAAAGGGAAGCGCUUGAGACCAGACUCAAUCUUUGUUGAUCAACUUCAGUUMUCUGUUGUGCACUCUUCAAUCUUUGGGACAGCAUCGGUUCUUGCGGAGGGACAAAGCCUCGGGAAAUGUGGCACUCUUCGGGGUGUGUUAUAGUCCCUUGGGUAAUGCCUCCAGCAGGGUCCGAGGACCGCGCUCCGGCUAGGAUGCUGUCAAAAUGGUCUUCAGCGACCCGUCUUGAAACACGGACCAAGGAGUCUAACAUCUGUGCGAGUAGUUCGGGUGGAAAACCCUUGCGCGUAAUGAAAGUGAACGGAGGUGGGAAUCGUGAGAUGCACCAUCGACCGAUCUCAUGAAGUAUUCCGAAGGAUUUGAGUAUGAGCAUAGCUGUUGGGACCCGAAAGAUGGUGAAYUAUGCCWGAAUAGGGUGAAGCCAGGGGAAACUCUGGUGGAGGCUCGCAGCGGUUCUGACGURCAAAUC
Molecule: ribosomal RNA, 798 nt
Filed under: Tarzetta sepultarioides
Lineage: Eukaryota; Fungi; Ascomycota; Pezizomycetes; Pezizales; Tarzettaceae
Description: partial large subunit ribosomal RNA
Source: RNAcentral